Long non-coding RNA from Poecile atricapillus (Black-capped chickadee), 588 nucleotides. RefSeq lists it as uncharacterized. NCBI's taxonomy places the organism in Eukaryota, Metazoa, Chordata, Aves, Passeriformes, Paridae. The transcript has 4 exons. The record is from RefSeq and is a predicted model, not a curated record.
GGGCGGGCAGGCCGCGGCGGAGAGCGGCUGGGCCGCGGAGGGCGGGGAGCGGCCGCCGGCGCCGCCGUGGAGACAGGAGAGAGCAAUGAGCAAACGUGAUCCAGCAGCCUGUCCCAUAGGAAAAACCACACCUAACACUAUCCUUCGAUGCCUUUGUUAACCUUGUGGUGCUGACACAUCCUAGAAAGAGAUGACUUGAAAACUUCAGAAAAUGUAGACGCUGGGAGCUCCAGAACUCAGGAUCUGGAAAAUGUCUGCAUAUUUGCAUUUUUAACUUUUACAGAUGAUGUGAAAGCGCAGCACAUUUGUCACUCUUUGGAAGAGACGCUAACAUCAAACUUGUCCUUCAAACAAGCUAUGGGCUCCUAUGGUACUUGUAAUUAGUUUCAAGAGCUCAUCAAAAUACUCAGUGUCUUAGACUAUGGGUACCUAGAAGCUGUUGUAAAUCUCUUGGUUGAUGAUUUUCAUCUCUGCACAAUGAAAUACUAAUGAAACUUUCCUGGCAAAUUUGGAGGAUUUGGAAAGAAGUCACUGGGGAACUAAGGAUCGUUACAAAUGGCAGCAUAUUUUUUUUCUUUCAAUGUGUCU